Molecule: long non-coding RNA, 9362 nt
Organism: Ornithodoros turicata
Lineage: Eukaryota; Metazoa; Arthropoda; Arachnida; Ixodida; Argasidae
Exons: 3
Source: RefSeq, a predicted model, not a curated record
AUUUGUUUGUUGCUCGUAUUUCCACACAACGUUUCCUGAGGAAAAACAGAUACCAUACAUAAUUUGUCUCGCGAGCUUCCGCAAAUUCGAGAGACCUGUUCGCGUGUGUGUCAAAAUGAAGGGUGAGGCGUGUCUAAGUUUAAUUUGGCGCGUACACAAACAACACUGAAAUGAUGAAUUGCUUGUCGUAUUAACUCGCCAUGAAGGUAAUGCUUCUGUUUCUUACUGCUUUAGUUUUGAGAAAUUCCCUUGGUCCAUCGAAAGUCGAACUUAUGCAGCGCUAGACCAUUCUACGUUUCCCUCUCCCCCAGGCGAGAUUGAUCAAAGCUUUGGCAAGUGCUUGGCCAACGAGCUCAUUUCUUGAUACGGAUCUGUACCCUGGCCGACGGCUUUCCAAUCAUCGCUCUGCCUAUCACUAUGCAACGCUGCGCCAACGUUGGAUGGCCGAAAGAGUCGUUGGCCAACUGUCAUCCGACCUUUUGCUAACCGUCGGCCAUUGGCCAUUGCUUGCUUGGGCUGAUUGCGAAUGCGGAUAGUAUUGCCAACCCAAUUCGAGAAUAGUAUAUCCGCUGUCAUCCGCACCCUUUUCUUGGCUGUGUUGUCAACAGGAAAGAUCUUGAUCCCCGAGGCUUGUUUAAGUUGCCAGCCGGCUGGUUAAGGGAGUAAAUCAUUGUGCGUGUACGCACACACCCAAGGCUGGUGUCUACUUUUUGCCUCCAGGGAGACAAGUGGGAAAGUUGCACCCCCUCGUAUUCUUGAUUUUAUUUAUCUUUUCUGUCAUCCUGAAGCAGCGUCUUCCUGUCUGGAAGGUUUUUAUUAAUUUUCUUUUUUAAUUUUUGGUACUCCUUCAUGCAGGGUAAUUUUAUUUCAGUUUGUUUUAUUGAAUGCCCAUAAACAGCAUAUGGGCUACAUCUACUGCACUGCAUGACUCACAACAGAUUAAAAAAUUUACAUUAUACUGUUUAACAUUAAUCUAUAAGUCUUGAAAUACGGUGCAAAAAUAUUCCAUAAAUGCACUGCAUGGCUCAUAGCAGACAAAAAAAUUUACAUUAUUCUGCUUAACAUUAAUCUAAAAGUCUUGAAAGUAGAAAAAAUAUCAAUUUCUGCAAUGGCAGCAUUAGUGUAUAUUCUUUAUAGACGAUCAACUGUUUAGGACAAACACUGGAAGAUAUUUUGAAGACAGAAGUGUGUCGAAAGCGUCUCAUGGGAGCAUUAAAACUGAGGGAUUCAACCAGCUUUGGGCAGUUCAAAAUUUCAUUUAUGGUUUUGUAGAAAAAUAUGAGUUUGCACUCCUUACGCCUGAGUUCUAAAGACUCCAAGUUAUAUCACUUAAGUUUCUGCCAUGUUCAUGCCCCCCCUAGGUACCUAUGAACGUUGCAUAUCGAAACCGAAACUACUUGGCACGCCAGCACGCCUGUAUUGCGAAGCAAUACAGUCAAUACAUUUGCCACAGUCAGUAAGCGCGAUAGUAAACAUACAUGCCGUAACCACCAGUGCUGCCGCGAGCUGCCGAUGACAUGUGAAUUAGUUGUAAAUAUGCGUGUUUCUUUCUUUUCUUGCCACAUGAGCGCUCAGAGAACUAUAUGAGGGCCAGGUAGUAAUCAUAAGUUGCAGUCACUUCAAAAUUUCAUGGUUUAGAGAUACAAAGCAGUCUUGCAACACUACUACCAGGGCUGUGAACUGGUGGAAUUACGUUAUACAUAGACUGCAAUGUUUAACUGUUUCAUUAUGACAGACAUCCUCUUUAAUGAAUUUACCUUUACAAUGAAUUUUUUUCACGGUCUCCUGAGUUUCCUUAUAGAGGAGUUCGACUGUACAGAUAAGCCUCCAUUUUACUCUAUGCAUUCUUUCUUCGCACAUUAAAAAUGUGCGAAGAAAGAACAUAUCCAAUGCUGUUCCAAGCCACAGUGCAAUAUUCCUGCCUAGAAACAUCAUGAGGAAGAUAUAAUCUGAUAAAAGAAUGCGGGUCGCUGAAACCCCAAGUAAUUCUCUAAAUGAAACCCAAGGCGGAAAAGGCAGUGCUUAUAACAUAACAUUGUGGGAGAAACCUAAAGGGGCACUAAAAUGCAAAACCAACCUACUCUCAAAUGAAAGUCCACGUUUCAAUUAGUACAAGUCAAGCAAAAUUAGUUCACACUACGCUACCGUAUAGAAGAGAAGAAAAACGAAAUGAAACAGAGUCCUCUUUGGCGGCAACGAAUGGGAUCCCCAGGAGGCAAACAUUGGCGGCAUCCAAUGAGACAGCAGGAGAAGCGCGUGCGUGCAUAUCGUGGGCGUGUGGAUUUGGAAUGGGUCCGAUCGUUGUGUUCUGUAUAUGCGCGGCAUUAUGCGCACUGCUGCAUUUUUCAAUAUUGAUUCACUGAAUUGUAGCCCACAACAGUUCUGGCAAAUGUUCGACUGACAACAUUUAUCUUGAUGUCCUUUGGACAACGACGCCAGUUCGCUUCGCAACACGCACUAUAUUUUUCGCAGGGUCUCCUGCAUGGCGUGUCACACGCAGCAUGUACUAAAAACACAGAUGCACGAGCUGAAACGACGAUGGUCUCUGCCCUUCGCCGAAGCAAGAAAGAGUUCGGUCUAAUUUUGAUUCUAAUUUUGCAAAGGAAUCAAAGUUUUCAAUUAUGAUAAGUAUGAAAUAACAAAGCGUGUAACGCAAUUUGAAGAUAACUUGUUUUUGAAUUUUAGUGUCCCUUUAACUUACUAACCUUGGUAAAUACCAAUGCCAUGGGAUACAACUCUCUUACUGAAUGUGACAUUUUGUAAAGAAUAUUUAAACUCAUAAGUACAACAUUUUCUUGUAAACGACAUUACAAACAUUAUCUGUGCAUUUACAAGAAUUGCAAUUAGAGAAUGUGCAGUUAGAUUCACACCAGUCCUCAAUUACGAUGAUAUUGUUUUGCAGUGUUAAACACUCACUAGGGGUGGGAAUAGGCAGAGAAAGCUUGAUGUCAUCCGCAUAGACUAAAAUGUGUGCAUGUUCAAGAGCGAAACAUAGGUCAUUCAUCUAAGUAUUGAAAACAGAGGUCCAAGGGAAGAAACUUGGGGGACUCAGUGUACACAGGGACAUGGGUUGGAUGGAAAGCCCAUGACUCGUACAACAUUUUUUCACUGUUUUACAUAAUCGGCAAUGAAGGGACAAAGAGAUCCACUCACUCUGUACCGGUUUAAAGCCCAAAGUCCGAUUUUCUCUUCAGGAGGUAAGGAAGACUUGAUUGGCUCCGAAAUGGGAGAGGAUGAUCGGUGAUGAUACAAAAUAAGAAAAUGAGCGUGCUGUGUCGGCCUGCCUUCAGACGUGCUUAUCGUAGUCUGAUCAUCUAUUGCGGAAUGGUAGAGCAGUCUUCUCCUCAUCCGGAAAAGAUAAAAAUGUGCCAGUGACGUGUUCAAACGACUGAAAGCAUUUCAAUAGACAACUUCAGGAAAUCCCAUGAAGCUCAUCGCCCCAGUUCAUAUAUAUACCCCGGACGUAUAUAUAUUGGAAGAGAGAAACCGGCCAAGUGGUUUCCGUUUUCCUACUCCACUCGGCUCUUUAACAACGACCGCACGGAUACAACUGCCGCCGAGGAAGAGAUCGGUCAUCAACAGCUAAAAGCUGUUUCGUGUCCAAACAGUAAGUGUUCAGUACAGAAUUAUACCUUGCUGUGUUGUAAAGUUGCAAAAGUUCCAAAUACAACUUUCCAAGCUAGUUAUCACAAAGUAUUCACUGCCUGCUCACUGGGGGAUAUCACAUUCGUUCUGCCGGUGUGUAAACACGCUUUUUUGCUUCAGUUUAUUCAGAUUUUCGACAUAAAAACUUGUUUCACUCAGAGCACUCGACUGCAUGAGGAGGGAGUCUGUGUUCAUAAAGCUGGAACAGUUUUUCAGUUAGUAAAACCACAAGCGAAUAGAUGAAGCAUGUGGCUUUGAGUAUUUGAAUAACAACAAUGAGGGUGAUGAGUUACGGGUAUUAACACAGACCUUUGUUUAUGCUUGCUCUCAUAACUGUUUGCUUCUAGCUUCCUGUUUACCGCAUGUAGCAGACGUAAUUUGUAUAUGCAUUUGUCCGUUUGUAUCGGGAUCUGGAAACAGCUGCUUCCUGAACUCUACGCAAACAUCAUUUCGCGGAGUUCGUGAUUGUGCUCUCAUUGUCGGCACAAAUUCUGAAGUUCAAUACUUUGUUUACUUAGUAAUUUUGCCUCCCUUUUUAGUUUUUGCCCUGUCGCUGUUACAGGCAGGACCUCAAGGGCGCUAAGGACCCACCAAAAGGCCCGUAGACUAAACAUCUGAAAAUUUUUCCACUAAAGCUCUUUGUCAAAAAUUAUUCUAGAAUUCGAAAACUCUGUGGGUGCAGCAAAGCACUGUGCAUAAGAACAACACAGUAUUGUGUGGUGCUUGGAAUAAAUGUUGCAAAUUUUAUACAAAAACCUGUUAUAGCUCUGUGUUCAAGAGACAAGCAGCUGACUCCACUUGCAUUUUAUAAAUCUUGUUCAUUUUACCCGCAUGUGCCCUGCUGGCUCACUAUGUAACAGUCGCGUUAAAAUAAUAUUUGCUUUUCUAGCAAUGGCAGCAGUAGCUCCUCAUGGUGGGAUACCAGUGUUGUGUUCCAGGCUGCAGGCACAAUUCAGCACGGAACUAGGAUGUGUCCUAUUACAGCUUUCCAGAAGAUGUUGUGCUCCAUGAGCUGUGGGUUCAAGCCAUUGUCCAAGACACAGUAUUGCGAGAAUCCUGGCUGCCUAAAGAAAGUUGAAAAAUACGUGACGCUCACUUCAACACGAGUGGCAAGAGGCAGUACAUGGACAAGGUACCACAGUUUUUGAAGCCUGGCACAUUCAUUCAAACAGCACACAACGCAUGUGCGUAUGCUAGAUGCGGUACUUUGAUGCAACUUGCCCAACCUUUUGGGGGUAUGUUUGCAUGCUCUAUGCAUCCUGAUUCCCAUCCUACAUGCACAUAUGUAUUCUCUGUCACUGCCAGAUCUGUCUCAACUUUCCCCUCUCAUAGUGGCUGUGGAAGUUACAGUUGAAACAUCUUUUGAAGAAGAAUGCAAUGUAGAUUCAUUGUCAGCUUAGCAUGACGCAUGGAUUCAACCGAAGAGGCAGAAGGGAGAAAGCACCCCAACUUCCAUGUGCAAAAUGACAGACGUUUUGAAGAGUAACUCCGAGGAACAUGGAGUAAAGUUUACUCCUCGAGUACAGAGGAUCACCAGCGGCAUGGCCGAGUGGGCUAAGGCGUCCGCUCGUUGGUGGUAACCAAGGUCGUGCUCUAGACUGGGAGGUGGUGGGUUCGAAUCCUACCGCCGGCUGUGCUGUCUGAGGUUUUACCUGGGUUUUCCGAAGACUUUCCAGACGAAUGUCGGCACAGUUCCCCCUGAAGUCGGCCCAGGACGCAUACUAACCCCCCUGUCCCCCACUCCUUCCUGCUAUCCUCUCUCCGUCUGUCCACAUCUCUACGUCGCUCAUAGCCACAGUUGCUUCGCGGCGCUAACACGCAAUCAAAAAAAAAAAAUCUCUUAUAGGAUCAAACCAAUGCAGGACACUCGUGCAGCUCUCACGAGAGAAUGAAAAUCUUAAAAGUCUUAACGCGAGGCUACUUCAAGAGAAAGGUGACCUCCUGAAAACCAUUGCACAGCUCCUUGAAACAAAUUCAUCACAGAGUAGACAAUUUCAAGACCUGCGAAUAAAACUUUCUGUUACAGAUGAGAAACUUUCGAAAGAGCACCAGGCCCUGCAGCUAGAUGUUCAUGACAUUAAAAGAACACAGGCACACCAAGAAACAGUUAAGCAGCAGACAUUGAAACCAACACCGCUUCAUGUCCUUACACUGUAAGAAAAAUUUGUGUAAUUUUACUGCACAAGUGACUGUCAACUUUGUUGCUGACGUAUGUGCCAUGAGCUUUAUACUGCCUAAAAUCCGUUUGGAGUACACUGCACAGUUCCGGAGUGGGCUUUUGAAGUUUUUCGUAAUAUUCCUUUAAUGUAAGUGUCAUCCUUUCGCUUAUGUAAGCUGUGCAGUGUGCACUCCAAAUGGAUUUUUGGCAAUAACUAGGUUACGGCACAUAUGCCAGCAACAGAGUUAGCAGUCACUUGUGUGUAAAAUAACAGAAUUUUUUACAGUGUACAUCGGCUGAAAAGCUAUAGUGCUACGUAGGCUUCAGUAUAGUUGAUCGCUUCAAGAAGUUCUGAAAAUUUGUCUAGUGAAGCAAGGGCACAUAGAGGAAGGCCACCAAUCUUUAAUGUGGAAGAACAGUUGAUUCCUGUUCUAAUCAGACUAAGAGUUGGUCUGCUCGAGCGGGAUAUAGCAUACCGAUACCGUGUGAGUCUAGUAUACAUCAGUGAGCUCUUCUCGUUUUGGAUAUAAGUGAACCCUCAUUAAUAUGACCACUAUCUUGGUCAUAACGUGAAUUGUCAUACUAACGAGAAACGCACCCUCCGCUGACCAUAGAGACCAUUUUGUCCCGGCCAUUCUUACAUGCACGACAGCAGCAGCACAGUGUAACCUGAUCCCAUGGUCACUGCCUUUUUAAGCACUACAGUGCUUUGACGGCCCGAAUGAUGCUGCGGGGAAUCCCAGGUUCAACAACAUCAGGAGUCAUCCCAAACAUGGGCGCCCUACUUUAACACGUGUCACCCUCUGCCUGAGGUAUGUGGUAGCCUCUCCUUCGGGCUACUCAUGUGACACAGUCACAGUAACGAGAAGAUUGUAUGUGUGUCUAACCCUACUUGUGGUAAAAAUCUCGGUCAUAGGCGGAUAAGCGGAUUGUCAUACUAACGAAGUGGAUAUGCAUGGCGGCACAAUGGUUCCGAAAGAACAUAUUAACGAGGGUUCACUGUAAUUUUUUAACUGAGUACCCCAACGAAAUGCCAACAUGACCAUCUAGAGGAAUUGUUACUCAUUACCCAAAUGUAAUGCCGUAUUCUCCACCUCUGACUUCGAAUCAGGGAGACCACUCUCUGUACAAGAGAAGAAAGAAUCCUGCAGAACAGUUCCCCACAUUUCGUACAACCUUCUGACAUAUAUCACAGGUGUGGUUCGCGUGUGUAUCGCUAUGUGAUUCAGAUUAUGAAAGUUGGUCUUAUAUCCAUGUUAAAGUUGCUGGAUUGGUCGAACGUACAUGUAUGUUAGAUUUUUCUGUAUUGCUUUGUUCAUAUUUGGUUGUACCUUGUUAUAUAGUACGAUGAAAUAAGGGUGAGCAGGCAAGCAAGCUGGUGAAGGUUCGACGGAGCCAAUCAUCAUCACUUUCAUAAAGUUUUUGUGUGUAUUGCACGUGUUGAAUGAACCCUAACUAUGACAUGGAUAACACUGUUUUUAUCACUAACUCUGCAGUAUGUUCAAUCCACGGAUCAUGUAUGCGUUUCAGAGAUGUGUCUCUAACAAAAUGAAUGGAAUGGUUUGCAGACGUAAGGAGCGCAAAAACGACAAAUGUUCCGCACAUUUGUCACUCGUGCAGAGAUUUGUUCUUGUUCACAGCGGAGUUGUAGAACUUCAGUAGUGCAGGAAGCAUGGUGACCUCGCUUCCACAAUUCUUCAUCAGUGUUUAUCCUUUGUACAAAUGGGCUCCCUCUGCCACUGUCCACGACAAACUAUCUUGAACUUACAAUGCUGGAACAAGCACCACGUACCAGACAGACAGAUAAGGAAACAAUCAUCACCGUGUUUCCUCAUUUGUCUGUCCGGUACAGUACAAUUUCUUUCCCCGAGCCUCUCUCUUUGCCGAGAGCUUGGUCCGUUGUGGUGUUGGAUGAUCAGGGCUGGUUCGAAGAGGUAACGUCCGACAGGCAAAGCACUCAACAACAACAGGAUUUAUUCACACUAUUUACAACAAGAACAAAAUUGCCUUACGGCAUGUCGUGAACACAAACCCGGUGGGGGAGAAGAGUGAAGACCAGGUCCCAGACCUUCUGGUAGUUGAAGUCCCCGCCCGAGCUACCCAAAAUCAGUGUGCGCCGACCUAAAUAUCCCAAAAUUGGACACUGCCCAUAACUUUCACGUCCCAAUGGGAACGUUUACAGGAAAACGGAACUAACCAUUUAAUUGGCAAAAUGAACUAGGUUAGUCACGUGACAAUACGUCGAAAACUCCACCCCCACUCAAGGUAGAUCUAAUAAUCCCGUCCGUCAUCUUGAACACGACGUAGUUUCCACAGCGCUUGGGGAUCAAGGGAUUAUCUAAGCUGACCACAAAGUAGAACGUGAAGGAAAACAAUGUACAAGUUUCCGGCGAUGCAGAAUCAAAAAUAACAAAGACGGUUAAGAGCAUCAACUGUUUAGUAUAUACACAUUAAAAACAAGACUUUCGUGCAGUAGGCUGCAUUCUUCAGGUUUGAGGGCCUGUUACAAGUGGUGAAGCAUAUAUAAAAAAUACAAGUAUUUUGAGCUCUAAGCUCUAAGAUAAGUACUCUACUUCAGAUGGAUAAUCAUAAUGAUUCAGGGUUUACGUACGUCGCGAGGCAUACAAGAUGUUGCUUUGGGAUGGGAUUCAAAAGGGAUGACCAAAUGAAUUGUCGUGGAUUGACCAGCCACAAUAGUGUGACCUACUUCUCUCUCUUCUUUUUUUCAUCUCUGGUAUUUGUCUACCUCAUAAGGCAAAGCGAGACCACAUUCUCACCUACGUUCGGCACCGAAGUCAAGGAGGUGCAGAAAUGGCUAAUUCCUAGAAGCACAUCAGUAUUUUGGUCAGGUAUUUCUGUCCACAAAUGAACAUUCAGUGUUCUCGCAUUGCCAUUGUGUUGGCUAUUUAUCGUAAACGGCAUUUAUUCAUAACGCAGGACGUUUUUCACCCACAGCUGGUUGUUUAUGCAUGUGGCGGGUGCCCUUAUUUUGGACGCUGACGAGUGAGUCAUGUCCGCAACUCUUUCUACGAACUUGUAGUAAAGAACAUAUCCACAUUCCUGGUGAUGCAUCAGUAACUACGAUAAACAAACAAAGAAUAAACAACAGAGGCUUUCAUGUUUGCCGGUACAACUUCCUUGUAAGUUUUGUUGGUCAACACUUUCUCCUCACGUUUUUAGUUGGGACAGCGCGGCUGUCCUCAAGAGCGUUCCACAACUUGUUGGGUCUAUUGACAUUUUCAUUCCAAUGGAGAAUUGCCAAUGCUUGACGCAUUUUGUAUGUCUCGUCCUUGUAAUGUAUCCUUAAUUGAUACCUAUGCAGGGGAUUUUGGAUAUGUACUGUUGGCUGAGCGCUAAGGUUGUGGGUCACUGCUCAUUCAGCGCACCAUUAUCUCCUUCAAAGGAUGUGGAACUGACUUUCUGCAUGUGUGGGGUAUGAACCCCACAUGUAUGUAUGUAUGUAUGUGUAUCACCCUGGCAAAGAAACUCCCCAGUCAUCAUCAUAAAAUAAAGUUGUUGCUGUUUUUCUACAUGUAGGUCGUACGACCCACAUGUACAA